This 806-nucleotide long non-coding RNA is filed under the name Anas platyrhynchos platyrhynchos (common mallard). RNAcentral's name for it is "lncRNA (ENSAPLG00000020744.1)". The record is from RNAcentral. Lineage: Eukaryota; Metazoa; Chordata; Aves; Anseriformes; Anatidae.
AUCCUUGAUAUUCAGGAGUACUCAGAAGCAUCCUUAUUUGAACAGGAGGGUACCUAAAAGAGAACUUAAAAGGCGUUUGAGAACUUUCAGGAUCUUAUUUGCAACUCUAAACAAUAUUGCAUACCGCCUCAUUACUAGAAAGGCAAUACUACCUUCAUGUGUUUUGUUACAGGUUAAAGGACCAACCCAAGACAUCUGCCAUGUACCUGUUUCUUAAAAGCUAAUAUGAACUGUGUAAAAAUUCAGGAAUCAAGAGCUGCUGCAGAACAGGCACAAACUUCAACAGCUUGCAGGGAUCCUGGUUAAGUGCUGUGGGGGGUGACACAAAAGGUAGAAAACAAGACCAGAGGAAUACCUGUCUGUUUCCCUUCUGGCUCCAUGGAAUGUGCACACACUCAGAGGAAGCAGAUCGUGUGUCUCAAAGGCCAUGUACACUCCACACAGCUGAAAGUAGUAAUCCAGGUGAGUUGGAUGGAGACUAAAAUGCUUUUCCUCAGAUGAGGUGUAUGCUUUGCAUAUUGACAAGUGGUAUUUUUCCUGAAUCACCUCCUGAAGGUGAAUUUUUGUCUUCAUUGACAAUGCUGGGAACCUAGGGAAAUUGUCUGAAUUUAGCUGGGUUAAGUGGUGUGAGUACCUCUUUCAGUCAUAAAAGUAGAACAUAGACGCUCAUUUAAAUUGUAGUGCUAGCAGAGCUACAAAACAAUGAUAAUCACAAUAUAAUUAGAAUCUGUAUCAUGAGAAAGUUAUGUAUAUGAAAGUGUUAGAAUGACAAUAAACUUCAGAAAGACAGAUUUAAUAAAAUGAGG